UACGUAGGGACCGAGCGUUGUCCGGAAUCAUUGGGCGUAAAGAGCGUGUAGGCGGCCUUUUAAGUCCUGCGUGAAAUCCUGCGGCUCAACCGCAGACGGUCGUGGGAAACUGGAAGGCUAGAGUGCGGGAGAGGAGAGUGGAAUUCCCGGUGUAGCGGUGAAAUGCGCAGAUAUCGGGAAGAACACCCGUGGCGAAGGCGGCUGUCUGGGACGGUACUGACGCUGAGACGCGAAAGCGUGGGGAGCGAACAGG
Molecule: ribosomal RNA, 253 nt
Filed under: uncultured bacterium
Lineage: Bacteria
Description: partial 16S ribosomal RNA
Rfam family: Bacterial small subunit ribosomal RNA
Source: RNAcentral